UACGUAGGGUGCAAGCGUUGUCCGGAAUUAUUGGGCGUAAAGAGCUCGUAGGCGGUUUGUCGCGUCUGAUGUGAAAACCCGAGGCUCAACCUCGGGCCUGCAGUGGGUACGGGCAGACUAGAGUGCGGUAGGGGAGAUUGGAAUUCCUGGUGUAGCGGUGGAAUGCGCAGAUAUCAGGAGGAACACCAAUGGCGAAGGCAGAUCUCUGGGCCGUAACUGACGCUGAGGAGCGAAAGCAUGGGGAGCGAACAGG
RNAcentral lists this ribosomal RNA (253 nucleotides) under uncultured bacterium. Its description in RNAcentral is "partial 16S ribosomal RNA". It matches the Rfam family "Bacterial small subunit ribosomal RNA", at positions 524 to 776 of the family's 1533-position model. The record is from RNAcentral.